Molecule: ribosomal RNA, 397 nt
Filed under: uncultured Alphaproteobacteria bacterium
Lineage: Bacteria; Pseudomonadati; Pseudomonadota; Alphaproteobacteria
Description: bacterial SSU rRNA
Rfam family: Bacterial small subunit ribosomal RNA
Source: RNAcentral
GAGUUUGAUCUUGGCUCAGAACGAACGCUGGCGGCAUGCCUAACACAUGCAAGUCGAACGGGAUCCUGGUUUCGGCCAGGUGAGAGUGGCGGACGGGUGAGUAACGCGUGGGAACCUGCCCAGUGGUGGGGGAUAACUGCGGGAAACUGCAGCUAAUACCGCAUGAGCCCGAAAGGGGAAAGAUUCAUCGCCAUUGGAGGGGCCCGCGUUCGAUUAGGUAGUUGGUGGGGUAAUGGCCUACCAAGCCUGCGAUCGAUAGCUGGUCUGAGAGGAUGAUCAGCCACACUGGGACUGAGAUACGGCCCAGACUCCUACGGGAGGCAGCAGUGGGGAAUAUUGGACAAUGGGGCAACCCUGAUCCAGCAAUGCCGCGUGAGUGAUGAAGGCCUUCGGUUGU